UACAGAGGUCCCAAGCGUUGUUCGGAUUCACUGGGCGUAAAGGGUGCGCAGGUGGCAUGGCAAGUUUGAUGUGAAAGCUCAGGGCUCAACCCUGAAAUGGCAUUGAAUACUGCUGUGCUGGAGGUUUGGAGGGGGGACUGGAAUUCUUGGUGUAGCAGUGAAAUGCGUAGAUAUGCGGAGGAACAUCGAUGGCGAAGGCAAUCCCCUGGGCCUGCACUGACGCUCAUGCACGAAAGCGUGGGGAGCAAACAGG
This 253-nucleotide ribosomal RNA is filed under the name uncultured bacterium. RNAcentral's name for it is "partial 16S ribosomal RNA". It matches the Rfam family "Bacterial small subunit ribosomal RNA", at positions 524 to 776 of the family's 1533-position model. The record is from RNAcentral.